GACAAUGUGGUGUAGUGGUUUGAGCAUUGGACUAUGACUCUGGAGACCAGGGUUCAAUUCCACACUUAGCCA
RNAcentral lists this transfer RNA (72 nucleotides) under Phrynosoma platyrhinos (Desert horned lizard). RNAcentral describes it as "tRNA-OTHER". The record is from RNAcentral. Lineage: Eukaryota; Metazoa; Chordata; Lepidosauria; Squamata; Phrynosomatidae.